This 5135-nucleotide unclassified non-coding RNA is filed under the name Homarus americanus (American lobster). Its description in RNAcentral is "mesoderm induction early response protein 1-like, transcript variant X6". Lineage: Eukaryota; Metazoa; Arthropoda; Malacostraca; Decapoda; Nephropidae. The record is from RNAcentral.
UUGCAAAGGGUCUGGGGGCCCGGCGUCCCCCGAUAGAAACCAACAUGGCGGAGCAGAAAGAGAGUACAGGGACCGCCGGCAGUGAAAGUGAUGCAGGCGAUGGAGAAUUUGAACCGACGGCGGAAAUGCUAGUCGAUGAUUACGACGAUGAGAGAACAUUAGACGAGGAGGAGGAUAUGGAAGAAGGCACAGACCGCGAGGAAGAGAUCGAUAACCUAGAGAAGGUGGGUGGCGUUGAUGAACCGCAGAAGGAACAGGACAUGCCCAUUGCACAGCUGCUGGCUAUGUAUAGAGGAUACCCACCCGAGGAGGGGGAAGGAGAGGUGGAGGAGCAAGCUAAUGGAGAGGGGGAGACUAACCAGAAUGAGAAUGAAAACAGUAACGGGGAAGUGAUCGAGAAUGAAGCAGAGGUCGAGAACGAGACAGAGGAGCAGGAGGAACCCGAAGUCAUAUCAUCGAGAUCUUCCACCUCCGAGGAAAAUGUAAAUAAUCACGAAAAGGAAAUAAAACCAGAUGUAAAGCCCGAGAGAAAACGGAGAGAAAAGACGUCAGAAUUGGCCCAACUCUAUGCAGACAUGGAUACCAACGGCGACACUCCGACCCCAUCGUCUUCGCGUUCUCUGAGAUGUCACAAACCUCUAGGAAUCCUGUCAACGGGCAGCUCGCGACAACAGAGUGAAGAUGAAGAGGAGGAAGAAGGGGAUUAUUCUGGGGAGGAGGAGGACUGGCAUAAAACUAUUAUGAUCGGUUCGUCCUACCAGGCACAGGUACCCGAGGGUCUACAAGCGUACGGUGCAACGCCGCCUUAUGAGAAUGAAGAUAAACUCUUGUGGGAGCCUGGCAAAUUAAGCCCUAAACAGGUAGAGGAGUACCUACGGGCACUAAGUCAUCCCCCGCCUGGUUCUCAAGGUGUUGCUGCCAUCCCCCUCGGAAAGCACGUCAGAGAUGAUGAACAGUUACUGAAUAGAAGAAAGUGGGGUAACCUGCCCCACUACCCUGGAGUAGGAAGGGGGGUGGGGGAGUGCAUCAAGCCUCAAGCAGGUGCAAGUUUGUUGAAUAAUGAUACGGGAUGCAAAUGUAAGGCUUUGUAUCUAUUACUUCAAUGUGGGUAUAAUGUAGAAGAAGCUUUACGUAGACACCGUAUGAACCCUACUCCGCUGGCCUCCACUAUGACACUAUGGUCGGAAGAGGAGUGUAGAAAUUUUGAAAACGGUCUUAAAACUUACGGCAAAGAUUUCCACCUCAUACAACAAAAUAAGGUUCGAACGAGAUCGGUGGGAGAGUUAGUACAGUUUUAUUAUCUCUGGAAGAAGACGGAAAGACACGACCUCUUCGCGACAAAAACCAGAAUUGAGAAGAAAAAAUACAUAGUUCAUCCUGGCACUACUGACUACAUGGACCGGUUCCUAGAUGAGGGAGAGGGAGGUGGCCACAUGCCGUGGCGUGACAACCGCUCGUCGUCCCCCAGUCUUCACGCUCUGUUGUAUGGGCGUCCUCCUGGAAGCACCGCCGGAGCAUCUGGAGGUGGGGUAGAAAUCUCUGCACCUGCAAGCAUUGCUCAACCUACUCAGCCCAGCUCUACAACAGAAGCCACUGGAGGGAGUAAUAACAAAGACAGCGAGGCUUCAGUUACUUAUUCUGGACUAAACCAGAUGGAAGACUUAGCCCGCCAUUUGGACCCAGACUCUAUUGAGUCCCUGGCCAAGAUGACUUCUCCGAACACUUCUGUAUCAAUUGCCAGAACUGGGAAGAGAACCAGUAGUCCUCAUCCUAUGGAUGUGGAUUUAUCUAUAUCACGUUCCUCGUUGCUAACCUCACAGACAAUGAGUGUAGAGGCUAAAAGUGUAGCAAUGGCAGAAACUGUUGCACAGUGAAAUAUACUGUAUGCCUUUUUUAAUGUGUAUGAGUGGUGUGGUGGUUGUGAAAAGUGCAAGUGUUCGUUACCAGUGUUGCUGCCUGAUAAUGUAACCAAGAGGACACCCAAAGUCUGCCUUUUUGUAAUAUUAAUGAUCCAAGAACACUUAUUACAAUCAGCUUGCUGAAUUUUAUACAGCCUCUGUGUGAGUGUUUGGAUCUAUAACUUUCAGUGAAAUUAUCAAAGAAAAUCUUAGAUUUUGGCCAUCAAAGUUGUGUCAGAAAUUCUAGAAAAAUAACACAACUGUACAACAUGGGAAUUAUUUUCAUUUAUGUUGGAUCCACAUUGGAAUACCCGAUAUGGUCAACACUGGAGUGAUCCUCUAUUCUGAGGUUUGGCAAUGCCUUUAGUCAGGCUGGCAAGGAUUUCUGUACUGAUUUGUUUUGAAAUUCAUUAGCUUUCAAGAACCACUUUAGUUAAUGGACUGUGUACAUUAUUGUCACGUAUGCAUGUCUUUGUACAAAUAAUUAUAGUAGAGAGUCGACUAACUACAGCUACUUGCUCCAACAGGGUUAUGAGGUAACCAUCUUUAGGUCAGUUCUUGUUAAGUAAGUUUGGUGUCUGAGGUUUUGGAGUUUUGAAAUCAAAGUUCUUCUGAGAGGAAUUCGUAAGACAUGUAUUAAGGAAAGUUAUUAUGCCCCAUCACCAUAGGCUGAGGGGCAUAGUGUAAUGGUUUGCACUUGAGCUUGUGUACAUCUGUCUGUCCGGGACUCAAUACACAUUAUCUGAAGAUGGAUGGAUAUUAAUCAAACUUACAACACACACACACACUACAAUAGAAAUUUCUACAUGUGAGUAAUUUUGAGGGGAGUCAGGGUCACAAAGGCAUGUGUACUCCGAUGCUGCUAGAUGUUCAUGUACACAAUAUCUGUAGGCUGGUUGGAGGAACAUUGAUCAUAUUAGUACCAGAGAAAUUAUAUACAGAGUUCCUUACCUGUUUGAUUUUUUAAGGUCAGCCCACCCCUGUCUGCUAAAGUGCUAGUUACUAAAUGCUUCUGUGCCAGAUAUACAGAUACUGGAAAACUUAAUGAUUGGAUUUUUACCAAACAUGUACUGCGGAUUCUAUUCUGUAUUACACUUGACUAGUUUUUUAUGGAGGUUGGGUCAAAAGCCAAAGUCACUGUUUAAUGGUUAUUGGUCUUGUGUUCCCAGCCGAGCAGAUGGGGCAUGCAGUAUUUCCUUGUCCCCUACCUGUGUGCAUGUCCGUCCUGAUCUUGUGUACCAAAGAAGUUUUUAGGAUGAGAGACUUCACUUAUAUGUCAGUGAUGCAUCAGUAACACUUGCAACGAGAGUCUUUUAGGCCACUCGUGUACCUCCAGAAUUAACACUUAUGUCAAUGGCAGUUUUGUAUGGUAUAACUUGUUGAAAAUCCCAUAAAGAAUGAAUUUGCCAUCCAUUUGGGUUGAAGAAACUGAAAGUGAAGAUAUACUGUAGUAGUAGUGGUUUGGGAGUCUUGUUGAGUGCUGUUGAUAUUUUAAAGCAAAUAUAUCCCCUCUACACAUCUCUUGAGGGGCCAAUUUUAUGUAAUUUUAAACACUUUCAUUAUCCCAUCAGACUCAUUGAGUUAGCAUGUUUACGUCGAGUGUGGCACGAGCCAAUGGAGGCACUCCCGUGUUAGUGUUACGGAGAAUCCUGUGAGUGGAAUCGUUUAUCCUGGAACCUCUUUAUCUUGUACCACUGAUUGUUGUUACAGUGCCAAGUUCUCUCCCUAAUUAGUUGAUUGAGUUCAAGGGGUUAAAUUCACAGUCAUGUAUACUAAAAUAUUUAUCAUGUCUCCUCUUAACAUCCUAUCCAUUCGGGGAGUUGGUCUGUUCUUUGUUACUUUGUUAUGACCUUCCUUGUCCAGGAUGAAUGGAUAUUGACCUUAUGCCCAUUGCCAAGCUGAUGGGCAUAUUGGUUCACUCCUUUCCGUGCCUCCAUCCAUUGUUCUGAUCUGGUGUACACAAUGUCUCAUGAUUGGGUGAAGGAAUGGUUACUAAACUGUAACUACUAUACAUGUAAAGUUCUACACCUGAUUUAUUGUUGGAGGUCAGGAGGGGUCAAAGCUUAAGGUCAUGUAUACUAAAAUGCUAAAAGUGUAAUUGUUUUAAAUGUUCUUUAAUGACCUGACUAGAUUUUUAAGCUCUUGUAAGUUUUUACACAAAUAAUUAUUCCUCAGUUUUUUGGGGAGUAAUUGGACAUUUUUUGUGGUCAGCGAGUAUUUGUAUAUGUUUUACAAAGAGAAUUACUGUUUUAUUUAGAUAUAUGUUGGUCAGUGACUUUGAUUAGGUUAUAAACACAAGAAAAAUAAUGUACACAGAUGCAUAUUGUAGUAUAAUUUAAACAGAAUUUCCGAGAAAGUAGUGAGUCGUAUGCAAGGUUGUCCACAGGGAAGAGAAUUACACUACACCACCCACUUAAGGUACUGAAUAAAGGAACAUGUAUGUAAACGUUUGCUGUUGAAGACGUUGGACAUUCAGAGAGAGAAAAUUUUUGGUGCUUUUAUGGAAUUUUAGGAAAUAUAUGAUAAAGUAUUUUGGAAUAUUAUGUGUAUGAGUUUUAGUUCUUUAUUCUGUGCGGAGAAGACUAUUUUAUAUUGUCCAUGGUAUUAGGAUGAGAAUUGUUCCUGUGUAGUAGUACAGGGUGGUGAGUGUGUCUGUGUGUGUGUCUGUCUGUCUGAUGUUUGGUUAUGUAAGCUUGCCAAAAUUUUUGACAGUUAUGGGAAUGGUUUAUGGAUGGCUGGUGCCAAAGAUACAAGUUAAGUGAUUCUGAGGUCAGGUAAUUUCAUAUUAGGAUAGGGGAAGCUGUUAGUUAUUAUUUUGACCCACUGAAUCAGAAGAGGAAUUAGGUAAAAUGCAAAUGGGGAAAAAGUCCUUCAGUAGGGUAAUGUUUGUCUCGUGAGAAAAUGUUGAAUAAAAUGGUCAGGCGUUCACCAAAUAAAAUAUUUAAAGCAGUGUCCCCGUAGUGAAAGGUUUAAUGAGUUUAGUUAUUUAUGUGCAGUGGAAAAGGCUAGGUAUUUCUUGCUAGUAUGUUGUGCAGGAAGAGAAGUAUAGGCAGUAUUGAGGACUAAGAAAUGGAAAGAUUCUGUGAUAUAUAUAGAGUUACAGUAAUUCCUAGCAUAUCAUAGUAUACUGUACUGUAUGUACAGUAAACUCUCAUGUAUAGAGAGAAUCUAUUGCCUUGGUUAAUAUUGCCAUAAUAGGUGAAUGUAAAACUGCCCCCCCCCCCUUAUACACACACA